GACGAACGCUGGCGGCGUGCUUAACACAUGCAAGUCGAACGGAAAGGCCCCUUUGGGGGUACUCGAGUGGCGAACGGGUGAGUAACACGUGAGUAACCUGCCCUUGACUUCGGGAUAACUUCAUGAAACUGGGGCUAAUACCGGAUAGGAAUCCUUGCUGCAUGGUGGGGGUUGGAAAGCUUCGGCGGUUUUGGAUGGACUCGCGGCUUAUCAGCUUGUUGUUGGGGUAGUGGCUUACCAAGGCUUUGACGGGUAGCCGGCCUGAGAGGGCGCCCGGCCACAUUGGGACAGAGAUACGGCGAAGAUUCCUACGGGAGGCAGCAGUGGGGAAUAUUGCACAAUGGGCGGAAGCAUGAUGCAGCAAAGCAGCGUGCGGGAUGACGGCCUUCGGGUUGUAAACCGCGUUCAGCAGGGGCGAAGCUUGUGGUGACGGUACCUGCAGAAGAAGCACCGGAUAACUACGUG
RNAcentral lists this ribosomal RNA (465 nucleotides) under uncultured bacterium. RNAcentral describes it as "partial 16S ribosomal RNA". It matches the Rfam family "Bacterial small subunit ribosomal RNA", at positions 28 to 507 of the family's 1533-position model. The record is from RNAcentral.